UAGUUGGUGGGUUGCCUUGUCAGGUUGAUUCCGGUAACGAACGAGACCUCAACCUGCUAAAUAGUCACGUCCGGUUUUUUCCGGUCGGCCGACUUCUUAGAGGGACUAUUGGCGACUAGCCAAUGGAAGUUUGAGGCAAUAACAGG
Molecule: ribosomal RNA, 146 nt
Filed under: uncultured Chlorophyta
Lineage: Eukaryota; Viridiplantae; Chlorophyta
Description: partial small subunit ribosomal RNA
Rfam family: Eukaryotic small subunit ribosomal RNA
Source: RNAcentral